UUUGGAGGAUUCCUGUUUCCAAAGUCAGGACAUUUUUUUACUACAUUAAUUUUACAAUUGUACACGCUGAACAAAGUCUUGGAUGGAGUCUUAUUUUAAAGCAAGGAGAGCUUCCAGUUUCGCUAAACAUUUUUUUAAGCUUUUAAUAGUAAGCUAUAUUUUGAAAGAUCUUCCACCACUCCUGUCACCCAAUCUUCACCCUUUCAGCAGCUCCCUGGCUCAUUUCUUGUGAAAGUGAGGGGAUGUUCCAUCAGUCUUAUCCGUACGGCUCAUCUG
RNAcentral lists this long non-coding RNA (276 nucleotides) under Lepisosteus oculatus (spotted gar). RNAcentral describes it as "lncRNA (ENSLOCG00000022579.1)". The record is from RNAcentral. Lineage: Eukaryota; Metazoa; Chordata; Actinopteri; Semionotiformes; Lepisosteidae.